Molecule: ribosomal RNA, 468 nt
Filed under: uncultured bacterium
Lineage: Bacteria
Description: partial 16S ribosomal RNA
Rfam family: Bacterial small subunit ribosomal RNA
Source: RNAcentral
GACUAACGCUGGCGGCGUGCUUAACACGUGCGAGUCGAACGGAAAGGCCCUGCUUUUGUGGGGUGCUCGAGUGGCGAACGGGUGAGUAACACGUGAGUAACCUGCCCUUGACUUUGGGAUAACUUCAGGAAACUGGGGCUAAUACCGGAUAGGAGCUCCUGCUGCAUGGUGGGGGUUGGAAAGUUUCGGCGGUUGGGGAUGGACUCGCGGCUUAUCAGCUUGUUGGUGGGGUAGUGGCUUACCAAGGCUUUGACGGGUAGCCGGCCUGAGAGGGUGACCGGCCACAUUGGGACUGAGAUACGGCCCAGACUCCUACGGGAGGCAGCAGUGGGGAAUAUUGCACAAUGGGCGGAAGCCUGAUGCAGCAACGCCGCGUGCGGGAUGACGGCCUUCGGGUUGUAAACCGCUUUCGCCUGUGACGAAGCGUGAGUGACGGUAAUGGGUAAAGAAGCACCGGCUAACUACGUG